UCCAGUUGGAGUGAAUAGUUUCAGUGAUGUAAUAAGAUACUCUGGCACAUUCUGGCUGCUAGAAAGGGUGUAUAGAAAUUCAGGUGUGCCCCUGCUGAUGUGAUUUUUCUGUCAGGACCUUGCAAAAUGGAAAGAUCGUCGAAAAAGUUACACUUCAGAUCUGCAGAAGAAAAAGGAAGAGAGGGAAGAAAUUGAAAAGCAGGCACUUGAGAAGUCUGAGAGAAGCUCUAAGACGUUUAAGGAAAUGCUGCAGGACAGGGAAUCCCAAAAUCAAAAGUCUACAGUUCCGUCGAGAAGGAGAAUGUAUUCUUUUGAUGAUGUGCUGGAGGAAGGAAAGCGACCCCCUACAAUGACUGUGUCAGAAGCAAGUUACCAGAGUGAGAGAGUAGAAGAGAAGGGAGCAACUUAUCUUUCAGAAAUUCCCAAAGAAGAUUCUACCACUUUCGCAAAAAGAGAGGACCGUGUAACAACUGAAAUUCAGCUUCCUUCUCAAAGUCCUGUGGAAGAACAAUGCCCAGCCUCUUUGUCUUCUCUGCGUUCACGCAGCACACAAAUGGAGUCAACUCGUGUUUCAGCUUCUCUCCCCAGAAGUUAC
This 595-nucleotide small RNA is filed under the name Pongo abelii (Sumatran orangutan). RNAcentral's name for it is "retained intron". Lineage: Eukaryota; Metazoa; Chordata; Mammalia; Primates; Hominidae. The record is from RNAcentral.